UCCACCCUCUCUCCUACGUUCAUUUUGUUAGAAUCUUCAGAGGUAGGGAAGAAGAGCAAGGAGAUAUCCAAGAAAGUAUGUAAGAUGUUCCCCUCCAUUAAUUGAUGGAAGCAACAAAAGAAAAGUUUCAAUAAGAUAGGUUACCCUUAUUGCAUUUUUCGUGUUAUUUUUCAUAUUAAUUACUGAUCUGAAAGUCAUUAUGUCUGAAUAAGAUUUACC
Molecule: long non-coding RNA, 219 nt
Filed under: Nicotiana benthamiana
Lineage: Eukaryota; Viridiplantae; Streptophyta; Magnoliopsida; Solanales; Solanaceae
Description: long non-coding RNA (NBEN_LNC025612)
Source: RNAcentral